UACGAAGGGGGCUAGCGUUGCUCGGAAUCACUGGGCGUAAAGCGCACGUAGGCGGAUUGUUAAGUCAGGGGUGAAAUCCUGGAGCUCAACUCCAGAACUGCCUUUGAUACUGGCGAUCUCGAGUCCGGGAGGGGCGAGUGGAAUUCCUGGUGUAGCGGUGAAAUGCGCAGAUAUCAGGAGGAACACCGGUGGCGAAGGCAGUUCUCUGGGCCGUAACUGACGCUGAGGAGCGAAAGCGUGGGAGCGAACAGG
This 252-nucleotide ribosomal RNA is filed under the name uncultured bacterium. RNAcentral describes it as "partial 16S ribosomal RNA". It matches the Rfam family "Bacterial small subunit ribosomal RNA", at positions 524 to 776 of the family's 1533-position model. The record is from RNAcentral.